This 393-nucleotide ribosomal RNA is filed under the name uncultured soil bacterium. RNAcentral's name for it is "bacterial SSU rRNA". It matches the Rfam family "Bacterial small subunit ribosomal RNA", at positions 975 to 1371 of the family's 1533-position model. The record is from RNAcentral.
CAAGGCUUGACAUAUAGCGAAAAGUGGCAGAGAUGUCAUGUCCGCAAGGGCGCUAUACAGGUGGUGCAUGGUUGUCGUCAGCUCGUGUCGUGAGAUGUUGGGUUAAGUCCCGCAACGAGCGCAACCCUCGUUCUGUGUUACCAGCAUUUAGUUGGGGACUCACAGGAGACUGCCGGGGACAACUCGGAGGAAGGUGGGGAUGACGUCAAAUCAUCAUGCCCCUUAUGUCUUGGGCUGCACGCAUGCUACAAUGGCCGGUACAAAGUGCUGCGAGAUCGUAAGAUUGAGCGAAUCACAUAAAGCCGGUCUCAGUUCGGAUUGAGGUCUGCAACUCGACCUCAUGAAGUCGGAGUUGCUAGUAAUCGUAGAUCAGCAACGCUACGGUGAAUACGU